Molecule: ribosomal RNA, 253 nt
Filed under: uncultured bacterium
Lineage: Bacteria
Description: partial 16S ribosomal RNA
Rfam family: Bacterial small subunit ribosomal RNA
Source: RNAcentral
UACGGAGGGUGCGAGCGUUGUCCGGAAUCACUGGGCGUAAAGGGCGCGUAGGCGGCGCGAGUAGUCAACGGUGAAAGCCCGGGGCUCAACCCCGGGUCGGCCGUCGAUACUCUCGUGCUUGAGCACUGUAGAGGCAGGUGGAAUUCCGGGUGUAGCGGUGGAAUGCGUAGAGAUCCGGAAGAACACCGGUGGCGAAGGCAGGUCUCUGGGCCGAUACUGACGCUGAGGAGCGAAAGCGUGGGGAGCGAACAGG